UAAAAUGAGAUUUGUUAGAAAUACAACAACAUAGAGAAAUAGUUCGUCUUUUGGGGAAUUCAACUAAGUUAAUUUACAAUUAUAAAGUUAGAGUUAAACAACAAACAAUAAAUAAUCACAAUUAAAUAAUUAAAGAGUAAGGGAGAAAUUGAAUUCAGGCCCCCUUUUGGGCCAAUUUCGUUAGUAUUUUAGGGGGUUUAACCAAAACCCGUUUUUGGUAAACAACUGAUGUAUAUCAGUGUAUAUCAGCGUGUGCAUAGGCUCUUUUCAUGUAUCUCUUGCUUCCGAACACCUAUAUUUCACCUUAGCCCUGUAUUUU
RNAcentral lists this long non-coding RNA (319 nucleotides) under Solanum tuberosum (potato). Its description in RNAcentral is "long non-coding RNA (STUB_LNC005840)". The record is from RNAcentral. Lineage: Eukaryota; Viridiplantae; Streptophyta; Magnoliopsida; Solanales; Solanaceae.